Esox lucius (northern pike) is the source of this 3382-nucleotide long non-coding RNA. NCBI's taxonomy places the organism in Eukaryota, Metazoa, Chordata, Actinopteri, Esociformes, Esocidae. The record is from Ensembl.
GUCGCCUUGCUUCGGCUUGCCGCGGCUGCCAGGGUUGGAGGCAAAGCUGCCGUCGAGGAUUCAUUGAACGUAAUGGAGGAGGCAGCGGUUGCCGGUUCCGGUGUUCAAAGCCCCUUUUACGGGCACGGCGCUACAAGCAGACUGAACUCAAGGCAACACACCACUUACAGCUGAAGAAAGAGGAGAAGAAAAUCUGGUCCAGGGCAGAGGAGGCUUAUACAACUACCCUCACCCAGAGAGAUUGCAGUAUAAAAACAAUGCAGAAGGAGAUCAGCAAGCUGAUGAUGGAAAAACAGCUUGCACAGGUAAGACAUUGUCAUUAUUUUGGGAGUGUUUUCAAUGGUUGACAUCUACAUUUGAAAUUGGGGGGAAAAAGCUUUACAUUUGAAGUAUUAAAAUACAAGUUGACUCUAGCCUGCUGUACUAAUCCAAUAUGACACUGUAUUUUAAAAGAUUACAGAUGUCAUUUAUUUGUCAUUGACUUGAACAGAAGGUCCAACCUUUGUUUGAACUACUUACUGAAAGUCAGCUACUGUACCAACGACUGUCAGAUUCCCACACAUGCCCUACAAAUUCACAACAGUGCCAGUUUUACACAUAGUGGUCAAAAACCAUGGACUGUGUCUUCAGGGUAUCUAGCAUUAGUGUACUACAUUAGAUAAUGCUAUUAAAAUGUGGUUAAACUUGGGUCUCAUCAGCUUUACAAUAUAGUCUUUAAUAAUAUCUAUAUUUAAUAUUAGUCUAGUUAUAGCUAUUAAAAUGAUGUAUUGGUCAUAUUAUAACAAAUGUAACAUUUUAUUUCAGCAAGAAAUUGAUAGAUUAAAGCUGAGGCAGAAAGUCAUUAAGAAUCAGAGACCACGUCUAGCUUGGAACGACAAACCGAUUGAGACAAAGCGAGAGGAGACAGAGAUAAAAGCAGGAUUAGAGAGACAAGGAAUAAAUGAGAAAGCAAAACAGGAUGAGGAAACGAUAAAAGCACUGACACAAGAGAUUGAGAGAUUGAGAAAGAUUAAGCCAGAAAUGUCUUAUAAAAAAGAUGAAGACAUUUGUAAUCUAGAAAGCGAGAGAGUUAAACUGGUCAACAAAAAGGUACAAGAUUUGGAGAGAGAUGUUGAGAGACUGAAAGAAAUUGAACAGGAUAGGUCAUUUAAAGGAGAAAGAACAAUGCAUAUUGCAAAAAUCGAAGACGUUCAACUAGUCAACAAACAGCUAAAUGACUUGAAGAGUGAGGUUGAAAUAUUGAAACAGAAGCAGUUAUUUCAAAAGCAAAGAUCCAUGCAUAUUGCAGAGAGUGAGGGAGUUAAACUGUUCACCAAACAGCUAAACGACUUGAAGAGAGAGGUUAACAAUUUGAAAGAAGACAUGACAAGUAAAGAAAUUCUAUAUGAAAGAAGAUUUGAAGUUGCAAAAAAAGCGCAUAAAAGACAGAAUGAAAGAAUUAAACAAGUUAACCAACAUUUAUUACAACUAGAGAAAGAAAUAGUGAUAAUUAAAGAAGCGAUUGGAUUGAAUAACUGCCCUAAAGCAACCAUGCGGUUCAAAGGCGAAAUGAUACAGGUAAGUGGGGAAGGGGGUGGACAGAACCAACUGGACAUGAAGGAGGAGGAAACAGAGAGUGAGAAUGACGUACAAAAAGAGAAAAAACGAAUGAGACUUGAGAUGGGACCAAAAGAGACUGAAAUAAUAAAUGCAAGACGGAGAGAGUAUUACAUGUCAAUCUACAGGGAAAGACUGAAACAGAGUAAGAAUAGAGAGAUGCUAAAGAUUGCAAGAGAGAAGAGAGAGCGAGAGAAAGAGAUGGAGGAGGAAAGAGAGAGACAGAAAAUGAAGACAGAGGAGAGACAAAAAGAGAGGGCAAGAGAGGAAAGAGAGCAGGAGAAAGAGAUACAGAGAGAGAAGGAAAGAGCCAGACAGAAGGAGAUGGAGACAGGAAGAGAGAGACAAAAGGAAAUCAGGGAGAUGGAAAGAGAGAGACAGAGAGAGAAAGAGAAUGAGUGUGAAAAGAUUGGGAAAGAGAUUGAGGAAGCGGAGGACAGAAGGUCCAAAGUAAAUAUGAAUGAUAUAUUAACUAUAAUCAAAUCAAAAGGACUGCAACAGCAUCAAAGGCGGAGAGAAAAGUGCCUACAAAGUUUCAAGGUGGAUCAAGAACAGAGAGAACAGAAAGAACAGAGAGAAAAGAAAGAACAGAGAGAACAGAAAGAACAGAGAGAACAAAAAGAACAGAAAGAACAGAGAGAACAGAAAGAACAGAGAGAACAGAAAGAACAGAGAGAACAGAAAGAACAGAGAGAACAAAAAGAACAGAGAGAACAGAAAGAACAGAAAGAACAGAGCGAAAGAGAAAAACUCAUGAGGGAGAAAGAGGAAAGACUUCAGGAGAUGAAAGGGAAUCAGGAAUGGUUAAGACAGCAAAAAGAGCUGAAUAUACAGAGAGAGAGAGAACACGCCAGCUACAUCGCUUCAGCCAGAGUAAAACAGAAAAGAAUUGAGGACCCUGCCCCUUCCAAUAAGAGUCUUAUUAGGAGAGCUUUUCGCUGGAUGCGUAGGAUGUUUGGACUGAAGAACCUCCGAAAGAAGCUGGUAAAAAAUUAAAGGAAGCCCUUGUUAGUCAUGGAAGCCAUUUAGAGGUCAGUAAUCUUUAUUUACACUGUUUGUCACGCCCCCUUCCCCGUGACUCUUGUUUGUUCAAUGUACAUGUUGUUUCCGUCGUUGUUUGUUGGUAUGUUUGCCCGGUGCGUCUGUUCCAUGUCUGUCCUGGUGUUGUGUUCUGGUUGUCCGGGCAACGAGGCGGGGGCGGGGUGUUCCCCACCUGACAGUCAUUAUCCACUCUCGCACCUGUUCCUGAUCUGCAAUCCACCACAGCAUUUAGAAGAGUGUAGUAUUUGUGGAGAUAUAAUAACACACGCAGACACAGAGCCAAGGUGAGUCCGUUUAUUCCAACUCUGUACCCCCUCAAACAGCCAAACCCUGGAAGGUCCAAUGGCCCCUCCCUUUACCGUAUUUACUCUAGUAUUGAUACCAUCAUGACCGUACCUUAUAAACUACUACAGAGAGGACCUGACUUCCAGCCCCAGUCGGAUUGUUAAGUCUCAACCGUAUGUUGAGCUUUGCACACCAGCUAAACCUUUGCUGUAUUGACCUAGUCCUGUUUUGCCUGUCUGCCUGUUUUCUGAUUACCUACCUGUAACCCUGCUUUUUCCCCUGCCUAGACAAACCCGACAACUGCAUGCACCUGUUUGUCACCCUGGACCUCGGAGCCACCCUGCACCUAGAUUCCACGCCAACCCAUAGCCACUCGGCCCACCCCCCUGACACUGUUGUUAUACCUAAUGCCAUGAUGAAUGAAGCCCAGUCAAUGUAAUUGUCUUUUAUGCUUGAAACC